UUUGAAAAACUUCAUUUUUAGGGUUCCAUAGCCAAAUGGCAAAAAACGGAACCCUUAUAGAUUCGUCAUGUCUGUCUAUCUGUCUGUCCGUGUCAAUUAGGGAUUGCAAUCCGGUCCGGCGGAUCCGGUAAUCCGGCCGGAUCCGGCACUUUUUUGGAGCUACCGGAUCCGGUUAAAAUCACCGGAUCCGGACCGGAUCCGGGAAAAUAGAAAAAAAAGACCA
Molecule: long non-coding RNA, 223 nt
Organism: Cydia splendana
Lineage: Eukaryota; Metazoa; Arthropoda; Insecta; Lepidoptera; Tortricidae
Exons: 2
Source: RefSeq, a predicted model, not a curated record